UACGUAGGUGGCAAGCGUUGUCCGGAUUUACUGGGCGUAAAGAGCGCGCAGGCGGUCGGAUCAGUCGAAUGUGAAAGCCCCCGGCUCAACUGGGAGGGUCAUUCGAUACUGUCCGACUCGAAGGCAGGAGAGGGAAGCGGAAUUCCCGGUGUAGUGGUGAAAUGCGUAGAUAUCGGGAGGAACACCAGUGGCGAAGGCGGCUUUCUGGCCUGUUCUUGACGCUGAGGCGCGAAAGCUAGGGGAGCGAACGGG
RNAcentral lists this ribosomal RNA (252 nucleotides) under uncultured bacterium. RNAcentral's name for it is "partial 16S ribosomal RNA". It matches the Rfam family "Bacterial small subunit ribosomal RNA", at positions 524 to 776 of the family's 1533-position model. The record is from RNAcentral.